RNAcentral lists this ribosomal RNA (883 nucleotides) under Nocardia sp. R5-25. RNAcentral's name for it is "bacterial SSU rRNA". It matches the Rfam family "Bacterial small subunit ribosomal RNA", at positions 38 to 935 of the family's 1533-position model. Lineage: Bacteria; Bacillati; Actinomycetota; Actinomycetes; Mycobacteriales; Nocardiaceae. The record is from RNAcentral.
GGCGGCGUGCUUAACACAUGCAAGUCGAGCGGUAAGGCCCUUCGGGGUACACGAGCGGCGAACGGGUGAGUAACACGUGGGUGAUCUGCCUCGUACUCUGGGAUAAGCCUGGGAAACUGGGUCUAAUACCGGAUAUGACCACGAAUCGCAUGGUUUGUGGUGGAAAGAUUUAUCGGUGCGAGAUGGGCCCGCGGCCUAUCAGCUUGUUGGUGGGGUAAUGGCCUACCAAGGCGACGACGGGUAGCCGGCCUGAGAGGGCGACCGGCCACACUGGGACUGAGACACGGCCCAGACUCCUACGGGAGGCAGCAGUGGGGAAUAUUGCACAAUGGGCGGAAGCCUGAUGCAGCGACGCCGCGUGAGGGAUGACGGCCUUCGGGUUGUAAACCUCUUUCGACAGGGACGAAGCGCAAGUGACGGUACCUGUAGAAGAAGCACCGGCCAACUACGUGCCAGCAGCCGCGGUAAUACGUAGGGUGCGAGCGUUGUCCGGAAUUACUGGGCGUAAAGAGCUUGUAGGCGGUUCGUCGCGUCGAUCGUGAAAACUUGCAGCUCAACUGCGAGCUUGCGGUCGAUACGGGCGGACUAGAGUACUGCAGGGGAGACUGGAAUUCCUGGUGUAGCGGUGAAAUGCGCAGAUAUCAGGAGGAACACCGGUGGCGAAGGCGGGUCUCUGGGCAGUAACUGACGACUGAGAAGCGAAAGCGUGGGUAGCGAACAGGAUUAGAUACCCUGGUAGUCCACGCCGUAAACGGUGGGCGCUAGGUGUGGGUUUCCUUCCACGGGAUCCGUGCCGUAGCUAACGCAUUAAGCGCCCCGCCUGGGGAGUACGGCCGCAAGGCUAAAACUCAAAGGAAUUGACGGAGGCCCGCACAAGCGGCGG